RNAcentral lists this ribosomal RNA (253 nucleotides) under uncultured bacterium. RNAcentral's name for it is "partial 16S ribosomal RNA". It matches the Rfam family "Bacterial small subunit ribosomal RNA", at positions 524 to 776 of the family's 1533-position model. The record is from RNAcentral.
UACGUAGGGGGCAAGCGUUGUCCGGAUUUAUUGGGCGUAAAGAGCGUGUAGGCGGCCUGACAGGUCUGCUGUGAAAACUCGAGGCUCAACCUCGAGAUGUCGGCGGAAACCGUCUGGCUAGAGUCCGGAAGAGGAGAGUGGAAUUCCUGGUGUAGCGGUGAAAUGCGCAGAUAUCAGGAAGAACACCUAUGGCGAAGGCGGUUCUCUGGGCAUUACCUGACGCUGAGGAGCGAAAGUGUGGGGAGCGAACAGG